RNAcentral lists this transfer RNA (63 nucleotides) under marine eukaryotic metagenome. It matches the Rfam family "tRNA", at positions 6 to 65 of the family's 71-position model. From Rfam's summary of the family: Transfer RNA (tRNA) molecules are approximately 80 nucleotides in length. Their secondary structure includes four short double-helical elements and three loops (D, anti-codon, and T loops). Further hydrogen bonds mediate the characteristic L-shaped molecular structure. tRNAs have two regions of fundamental functional importance: the anti-codon, which is responsible for specific mRNA codon recognition, and the 3' end, to which the tRNAs corresponding amino acid is attached (by aminoacyl-tRNA synthetases). tRNAs cope with the degeneracy of the genetic code in two manners: having more than one tRNA (with a specific anti-codon) for a particular amino acid; and 'wobble' base-pairing, i.e. permitting non-standard base-pairing at the 3rd anti-codon position. The record is from RNAcentral.
AGUAGCUCAGUUGGUUAGAGCACCUGACUGUUAAUCAGGGGGUCGCUGGUUCAAGUCCAGCCU